Molecule: ribosomal RNA, 253 nt
Filed under: uncultured bacterium
Lineage: Bacteria
Description: partial 16S ribosomal RNA
Rfam family: Bacterial small subunit ribosomal RNA
Source: RNAcentral
UACGAAGGGGGCUAGCGUUGUUCGGAAUUACUGGGCGUAAAGCGCACGUAGGCGGACAUUUAAGUUGGAGGUGAAAGCCUUGGGCUCAACCCAAGAAUUGCCUUUGAUACUGGAUGUCUCGAGACCGGGAGAGGUGAGUGGAAUUCCGAGUGUAGGGGUGAAAUUCGUAGAUAUUCGGAAGAACACCAGUGGCGAAGGCGGCUCACUGGCCCGGUUCUGACGCUGAGGUGCGAAAGCGUGGGGAGCAAACAGG